UAAAAUGCGGUAUUGAGCUGGCAUCUCCAAGGCACUAUCUGUCCUGGGAAGAGGAGGGUUUUUAAAUCCUUCUUUUCUAAACUACGAAAAAAGGGAGUGUGUGGGGCUCUGGAGGGAAAAGACAGUAACAGGCAACGAUCAUAAUGAUGUUAAUCCUCAGCCUGAUGAAUUUAAAACCACGUAGGGCGAGCGUUCAAGUCUGCAAUCCAUGCAUUCAAUGAGGAAACUCCGAGAAGCAAGUAUAAGUGUGAGAAACCAGCCUCUACCUCAGAGCACAGCUGUCCAAGGAAGGGUCUUGACCCUGUCCUUGGAAAAACCCACUGAGCACUCCUAGGCACAUACCCACCUGCUGAGUUGUUUAUCUACAAAUAACAGGAGAGAUCUGAGGCACCAGGUGUCCCUGACUCAGUCAGGCUAGGUGAGGACCCAUAGCAACCCCCUAGCAACCACCAAUCAGCAUGAGACAGGGAAAAUACCUGGGAUGCCAGAUGACCCUCCCAGUAGUUUAUGGUGGUUGACAACAUGUUGGGAAACCAUGUAGUUCUCGUGCCUUAAGGCAAUCAGUUCAAAGGAAUCCCCCUCUUGUACUCACCAAUCACCCCUACCCAACUUGUUCCCGCCAGUGAAUGUGCUAAUCAUGUUUUAGAGUUGUUUUAUGAUUUUCCCUCGGUGUGUGAUGAUUUCCUAAGAGAUGCUAUGAUGUAUGUGAAGUCCCUGCCUUCCCCAAAGAGUGUAUAAAACUGCUGCAAACCCU
Molecule: long non-coding RNA, 754 nt
Filed under: Marmota monax (woodchuck)
Lineage: Eukaryota; Metazoa; Chordata; Mammalia; Rodentia; Sciuridae
Source: RNAcentral